RNAcentral lists this ribosomal RNA (253 nucleotides) under uncultured bacterium. Its description in RNAcentral is "partial 16S ribosomal RNA". It matches the Rfam family "Bacterial small subunit ribosomal RNA", at positions 524 to 776 of the family's 1533-position model. The record is from RNAcentral.
UACGUAGGGGGCCAGCGUUGUUCGGAAUUACUGGGUGUAAAGGGUUCGUAGGCGGUGCGGCAAGUUGGGAGUGAAAUCUCUGGGCUUAACCCAGAGGCUGCUUUCAAAACUGCUGUGCUUGAGUGUGAGAGAGGCUCGUGGAAUUGCAGGUGUAGCGGUGAAAUGCGUAGAUAUCUGCAGGAACACCCGUGGCGAAAGCGGCGAGCUGGAUCACUACUGACGCUGAGGAACGAAAGCUAGGGGAGCAAACGGG